Molecule: long non-coding RNA, 230 nt
Organism: Callorhinchus milii (elephant shark)
Lineage: Eukaryota; Metazoa; Chordata; Chondrichthyes; Chimaeriformes; Callorhinchidae
Exons: 2
Source: RefSeq, a predicted model, not a curated record
UCUGAUCCGCCGCCUCAUACAGACCUGCACCAGUCUGGAGAGGAUCAGGCUGUGGGGGAAUGGGUUCAGUUCAGACGGAGAGAAUCAGCUGCAGUCACUGCGGGGAAUCAGAUCUGGGCUGUCAGUGACAGUGAGAUUUGGACUGAGUCAGAGACCGACCACACAGUCUGUGUAACAUGAAAUGUAUUCUAGACACUGUAGUAAUUGAUUAUUAAAGAUGAUAAUCCUGA